AUUGAACGCUAGCGGCAGGCUUAACACAUGCAAGUCGAACGAGUGGCGGACGGGUGAGUAAUGUCUGGGAAACUGCCUGAUGGAGGGGGAUAACUACUGGAAACGGUAGCUAAUACCGCAUACCAUCAGAUGUGCCCAGAUGGGAUUAGCUAGUUGGUGGGGUAACGGCUCACCAAGGCGACGAUCCGUAGCUGGUCUGAGAGGAUGACCAGCCACACUGGGACUGAGACACGGCCCAGACUCCUACGGGAGGCAGCAGUGGGGAAUAUUGGACAAUGGGCGAAAGCCUGAUGCAGCCAUGCCGCGUGUAUGAAGAAGGCCUUCGGGUUGUAAAGUACUUUCGGCGGGGAGGCGUUACCCGCAGAAGAAGCACCGGCUAACUCCGUGCCAGCAGCCGCGGUAAUAC
RNAcentral lists this ribosomal RNA (406 nucleotides) under uncultured bacterium. Its description in RNAcentral is "partial 16S ribosomal RNA". It matches the Rfam family "Bacterial small subunit ribosomal RNA", at positions 30 to 526 of the family's 1533-position model. The record is from RNAcentral.